GCUCUGUGGUUUCUCUUCAGAUCCUAUAAAUCUUUUGUCUUUUACAAACGAUUUCCAUGGAGAGAAACUCAUGAGUUUCAUCACUUAUUGGUACGUAACUCCCAGUACAG
This is a non-coding RNA of Egretta garzetta (little egret), 110 nucleotides long. NCBI's taxonomy places the organism in Eukaryota, Metazoa, Chordata, Aves, Pelecaniformes, Ardeidae. The record is from Rfam.